RNAcentral lists this ribosomal RNA (253 nucleotides) under uncultured bacterium. RNAcentral's name for it is "partial 16S ribosomal RNA". It matches the Rfam family "Bacterial small subunit ribosomal RNA", at positions 524 to 776 of the family's 1533-position model. The record is from RNAcentral.
UACGUAGGGUGCAAGCGUUAAUCGGAAUUACUGGGCGUAAAGCGUGCGCAGGCGGCUUUGCAAGACAGAUGUGAAAUCCCCGGGCUUAACCUGGGAACUGCAUUUGUGACUGCAUGGCUGGAGUGCGGCAGAGGGGGAUGGAAUUCCGCGUGUAGCAGUGAAAUGCGUAGAUAUCUGGAGGAACACCGGUGGCGAAGGCGGCGUCCUGGACCAACACUGACACUGAGGAGCGAAAGCCAGGGGAGCAAACGGG